AAUCUAUUUGCAUCUGUCCGUGCUAUAAUUGGCCUCUAGUGAAUGUUUUAUUGUUUUCUCUCCAGUUACACCCAUUGCUAUUCAACAAUUUCCCACCACAAAUAACAUUAAUAUCCAUUUUCAUAAUUGUUUUCCUAUUUUCAAAAAAAAAAAAAAAAUAGAAGAUGGGAAAAAGCAAUAAAGAAUCUUGCAUGGAAAUAAAACAAUAAUUAAAGGUAAGUUACAUACUUGGCCGGUAACCUAAAAAUAGUUAUUUUUGUUUGUUAAAUAUACGAAAGAUGUAUACUUUUUGUAUCAAAAAUUUAUAUUUGAUGUAGAUCAUAAAUAAUAUACACAUUUGAUGGUUAUUCCUGGAUGGGAGACAACAAAAAAUAAUUAAUUCUAUCUCCUCUCUCGAUUUUUUCUCCUAAAAAUGAAUUUAAAGAAAAUAAUGAAAUAAAAGAAAUAAUUUAUAAUUCAAGUCGCCACAUACCAUGAUACCAGUCCGGCUUUAGAUCGCAAGCAAGUAGCACUUUUUUUUUCUUUUUAAUUCACAAAUUAAUGCUGAAGCCUCACUUCCUCAACAUUGCCACAAGUUCUCAUAAAAGAUGGCAUUAAAGAACAGACCCUUUUUUUUUUCCUAGAUAAGCAUUCAGUACUUCUGAAUUAUGACUAAAGUUGUUAUGCUACACUUUAAUUUAAAGAAAAUUCUAUUAUCCUUGAACUCAAUUUUAAUAAAUUUUUGUCACUCUUUUAUGUUGACGUGAUAUCUUGCCUGAAGUUAAACACCUGAGGCGCAUGACAGUCCUUCACACGCCCCAGGUGUUUAACUUCAGGCAAGAUGUCAUGUCAGCUAAAAAGGUUGACAAAAAUACGCUAAACUUUAGUUCAAGUUAAUAGGACCAUCAUAAAAUUAAAGUGUACCGUAACAAAUUUGGUCAUAGUUCAGGAGAGUCAUAGAUGUUUAUAUCUUUUUCUUUUGGUAAUAGUUUGAUACUCGGUUCUCGUUAAUUUAUUAAAAGAAAAAACGCCUAAAAUGCCCUUUAACUAUGUAAAAUGAUGCAAAAAUAUCUUCUGUAUACCUAUUGGGCCUAAAAUUUUCUUUCUGUCUACCUAUUACGCCUAAAAUGUCCUUUCUGUCUACCUAUUAGGGCCUCAAAAUGCCCUUCUCGUCUACCUAUUGGAUCUAUUUUACCCUUUUAUUUAGGUAAAUUACAUGAAAAGGUCACCUUUAAGACUUAACUACAUAAACAAAGUAGUACUUUUUCAAUGUUACGAACAUAAAAGUUUUUUUAAACAUAUAUGACCAUUUAAAAAAAUCAGAAAAAAUAACUAUAAUUCUUAAUUUAAUGUUCUAACUAAUUAUCAAUUCACCUUAAUUUAGGAGAUAUAUUUUCAAUUUUCAAAUUAAAAGUGGAAAAGAUAAUCCCUACUUCCAAAUCUUUCUCUCUUGUAUUCAAAAUUCAAAUAUUUUUAAAUAAAUUAAAUAUUUCAUUAUUUGCUCAUGUAUAUUUCUUUUUAUUUUCAUAUAUGUUAAUCAUAUAGUAUUAUUUCAUUAUCGUGUAGUUUUCAUUCUAAUGUAAUGAGUUAAUCACAAUCUUUUUAUGAAUAAACAUUCAUAGAUAAAAAUCAUUAUUGUUGAAGUACAAAUAUACCAUGUGUUUUUGUUAUAUAAAUAUAAUUUAUGUCAAAGUCAGAUUAUUAUAUUUUUGAUAUAACUUAUGAGAUAAAUAUUCAUGGUAUAUCUCAUUAUGUUGGAAGUGUUCUUCUUGUUAAAAAAUUAUUAUCAAAAAUAAAUAUAUUUUUUCAGUAUUACAUAAUACAAACUUUUUAUAUCUAAAAUAUACCAUAUAUGUUUAUGGUAUGAAUAUAAUUUCUACUAUAUAAUAUAUCAUGUAUUUAUGGUAUAAAUAUAAUUUGUAUGGUAUAAAUAGAUCAUGUAUUUUAUGAUAUAAAUUUAAUUUAUAUAAUAUAUAAAUAUAUCAUGAAUUUUUAUAAUAUAAUUAUACUAUAUAUUUUUACGAAGGCAUCGUGAAAGCAUGCAAUAAAAAUGAAAAAACAUAAAAUUUUGAUAUAGUAUUUAAAAAAAUGAAUGAAUAGAGACUUCCAUAAAAAUAGGCAAUAAAUAAGAAAUAUGAGAAUUUAAUAUAUAAUUAUUUUUCUAUAUAUUAGAAUCUGUUAUAAAAGUAAAUAUUUUAUAUGCUAUAUCUGACAACCAACUAAUACGGCUAUGUAUAUGUAAUAAUUUUUUAAAAUGACUAUUUAUGUUUUUUUCUUUUAUUUAUCAGAUCAAUUUAGAACGUUGAAAAAUUGAUAUUGUACGCUAUUUAUUUGGUUAAUAUUAAUAAAAAGGAUAGGGACUUUAUGUAGUUUAAUAAAGAUAAGUUGUGGUAUUAUGCAAUUUCUUCUUAAAUAAAAGAGCAAAAUAACCUCAAUAGGUAGACGAAACAGAUAUUUUAGGCCCAAUAAUUGACAUGAAGGUCAUUUUAAGCCUAAUAAGCAGACAAAGAACAUUUUUAAACCAUUUUUAUAGUUGAAAGACAUUUAGACCCUUUUACAUUUAUUUAAUGUGAAGAAUUCCCAUUCCCACCAUGUAUGAUUUAUUUAUGAAGGACAAACGCUCUUAUCUAAGUACAUUUCUUUUCAAAACUUAGAAUCUAAAAUCUCUAAUUAGAUAGUGUUUAUAAUCGCACUACACAUUGGUGAAUUUAACUUGAAUUCAUCACCACAAAUAAAUUAGCAUCCUUUUGUGCGUUUUAUAACGAAGUAAUGUACUACACAUUUUUUUCAUAAUUGUUAAAGGCUAGCUUUCUUUCUCAAGACUGCGAUUUUCAUAAAACUUAAAACUAAAAAACAUACAAGAUCCUAUAAAGGAUUUUAUAUAGUGAUUGAUGAGGCCCUCAGGUCUUCCUGUUUAUGUUCACAGUUUUUUGAUGAACAUCUAUUUAGUCAAUCAUUUCUUAGAUAUUCUAGUUCUUACUUUUUUCGUAUGUAAUUCCUCCGUCUCAAAUUAUUCGUUCCAAAUUUUCUAAUAAAUAUUUCAUUUUACUUGUCUUUUUUCAUUAAUCAAGCCAAG
Molecule: long non-coding RNA, 3055 nt
Filed under: Capsicum annuum
Lineage: Eukaryota; Viridiplantae; Streptophyta; Magnoliopsida; Solanales; Solanaceae
Description: long non-coding RNA (CANN_LNC012882)
Source: RNAcentral